Cyprinus carpio carpio is the source of this 1802-nucleotide long non-coding RNA. Lineage: Eukaryota; Metazoa; Chordata; Actinopteri; Cypriniformes; Cyprinidae. The record is from Ensembl.
GACCGGUUUUGGUGCCAAAAUGCACAAAUCAUGAGGAUGAGAAAGGUCAGUGGUAAAUGCAGUAAUUCAUGUCACUCAACAACCUUGAGAGGGCAAACCUCAGGAAGCUGAUGUCUUCAAAAAAGACAGAUUGCAAUGUUAACGCAAUGUUAAUCAGUUAUGUGGUCAAAUCUUCAGAGAACGUAGUGCUGUUCAUCCAAUCAAAAAAUGGCAUCUAUGUUUUUCUAUCAUCAAGUCAUUUGGGGUCGUAAUUCUGCAGUUAGGGUUGUAUUUACAGUCUUUCCUGUAGAUUUGCCACUUCUGUUAAUGUUUGUCAAUGCAGGAGAAAUGGCUGAUUCGUAAGGUUCUAAAAGGAAGGAGAAAGACUUGCAAAAAAGGCUUGCAUUAUAUCACUUGCUGAGAGUGGAUCCUUUACAGUGAAUGGGUGCUGUCAGAGUGAACAGUGAUGUAUUCAUACAGUGAUGUAUUCUUGAAAUAUAAGAGAGCAGAAACUUCUAGACUAAUGAAAACAGGCUUUUCACGAAAUAAAAUGAUCCGCUUCUUAGUUACAUUUAUUUGAAACGUAUUAGAAGAAUGAGACAAAAUGAAGCCGAUGAGCCCUGAGCACCUGGAUAUGAAACCCUCCAUCUCCUGUGGCACAGGUAUCAUAAAGAUAAUGGAAGUAAAAAUCAACUCCCCGACUUUAAUGUUUUACUCAUGAGCCAGAUGGAGGCACCGCAGUGGAAUUAUUGCCUCACCCACCGAUGAGUCAGAACGACAGACUGAAAGAAAGAACAAAAGAGGAUAAGAAAGAGGUGCCAAAUAGAAGCCUGGAGCAACUGUGGCUGCACAGAUGUGUUACCUGUGUUUUAUUUUUCCCAGUUAUUGCCAAGGGCCUCAUCUCUGUUCUUUGGACUCCUGACCCCACAGGAUCCAUACAGGCUGGUAAUUUACAAGACACUUUGUGAUGUACAGAUACCCAGAACCACUGCCAUGGAGUUGUACUUUCUGUCUUUGAUAUCUUGUCAUCCAGUGCAUUGAAUGAAGGUGUGGGUGUCUUUAAUAAACAAUGCUCAUUUAUUAAUAAUAUAUAUAUAUGUUACAGGUCAAAAGUUUGGAAACAUUACUAUUUUUAAUGUUUUUGAAAGAAGUUUCUUCUGCUCAUCAAGCCUGCAUUUAUUUGAUCAAAAAUAAUUAAAAUGUAUUAUACUUUAAAUUAUCAUUUAUUUCUGUGAUGCAAAGCUGAAUUUUUAGGAUCAUUAUCACAUGAUCCUUUAGAAAUCAUUCUAAUAUGAUGAUUCAUUAUCAAAGUUGGAAACAGUUCUGCUGCUUAAUAUUUUUUCAGAACAUGUGAUACUUUUUAGGAUACUUUGAUGAAUAAAAAGUAAAAAAAAUAAAAAAAUAAAAAAAAGAAGCUAUGUUUUUAAUUUUAAUAAAAUCAAUACUUUUAUUCAGCAAGGAUGUGUUAAAUUGAUAAAAAGUAAUAGUAAAGAAAAUAUAUUAUUAGAAUAUAUAUUAUUAGAAUUUUUUUGAAUAAAUGCAGUUCUUUUUAACCUUUUAUUCAUCAAAUAUAUUACACAGCAGAACUGUUUCCAACACUCAUAAUAAAUCAGAAUAUUAGAAUGAUUUCUAAAUGAUCAUGUGAUAGACUGGAUGUUACAUGUGACACUGAAGGCUGGAGUAAUGAUGCUGAAAAUUCAGCUUUGCAUCACAGGAAUAAAUUAUUUUUUUAAAAAGUAUAUUCAAAUAGAAAAACUAUUAUUUUUAAGUUGUAAUAAUAUUUCACAAUAUUACUGUUUUUCUGUAUUUUUUUGAUCAAAUAA